This 513-nucleotide long non-coding RNA is filed under the name Homo sapiens (human). RNAcentral's name for it is "non-protein coding LINC01482:8". The record is from RNAcentral. Lineage: Eukaryota; Metazoa; Chordata; Mammalia; Primates; Hominidae.
GCGGAAAAAUGUAAUCUCAGUUAAUUUGAGGUUUCUUCCUGCCCUGGCAUUGUAUUUAAAUUCAGGGGAACUGGAUGUCUCAUGGGUUUUUCUACUUUUUAAUAUAAUCUGGUUAUAUGGGCAUUGGGUAAGAUAUCUGCCGCCUGAUUUGAUCCUUCCUCAUUGGCCCAAGCAUGUCACCACGGAGACUUCCUUGUUCGUGUCUAUAUGGUUCAUACAUGGCCUUCCCCUUAAUUAAAGAUGUCUUCCGAGGAACAUUUUGUCUAAGCCUGAUUGAACCCCAACCAGAGGCUGAGGCAGGAGAAUCACUUGAACCCAAGAGGCAGAGGUUGCAGUGAGCCGAGAUUGCACCAUUGCACUCCAGCCUGGGCAACAAGAGCAAAACUCCAUCUCAAAAAAAAAAAGAAAAGAAAAACUAGAACCUCAUUUAUUACUACUGAGAACUGUAGAACUGCAAAGUGGUUCUAAAGUUGUAGAACCACUUUAGAAAAAAUUGGGCGAUUUCUUGUAAAG